GCCAGGUGUGGUGGCGCACACCUGUAAUCCCAGCUACUUGGGAGGCUGAGGCAGGAGAAUUGCUUGAACCCGGGAGGUGGAGGUUGCAGUGAGCUGAGAUCGUGCCACUGCAUUCCAGCCUGGGUGACAGAGUGAGACUCUGACUCAA
This 148-nucleotide signal recognition particle RNA is filed under the name Homo sapiens (human). RNAcentral's name for it is "Metazoan signal recognition particle RNA". It matches the Rfam family "Metazoan signal recognition particle RNA". Rfam says of the family: The signal recognition particle (SRP) is a universally conserved ribonucleoprotein. Lineage: Eukaryota; Metazoa; Chordata; Mammalia; Primates; Hominidae. The record is from Rfam by way of RNAcentral.